This 69-nucleotide transfer RNA is filed under the name Pogonophryne albipinna. RNAcentral describes it as "tRNA-Arg". It matches the Rfam family "tRNA". From Rfam's summary of the family: Transfer RNA (tRNA) molecules are approximately 80 nucleotides in length. Their secondary structure includes four short double-helical elements and three loops (D, anti-codon, and T loops). The record is from RNAcentral. Lineage: Eukaryota; Metazoa; Chordata; Actinopteri; Perciformes; Artedidraconidae.
AGACAAUUAGUUUAAUAAAAACAUUUGGUUUCGGCCCAAAAGCUUGUGGUUUGAGUCCAUAAUUACCUA